Molecule: ribosomal RNA, 412 nt
Filed under: uncultured eukaryote
Lineage: Eukaryota
Description: bacterial SSU rRNA
Rfam family: Eukaryotic small subunit ribosomal RNA
Source: RNAcentral
AGAGUGUUCAAAGCAGCCUGUAUGGGCAUUGAAUAGAUUAGCAUGGGAUAAUAGAAUAGGAUUCUUACCUAUUUAUUGGUUUAUAGGUUUAGAAUAAUGAUUAAUAGGGAUAGUUGGGGGCACUUGUAUUCAAUAGUCAGAGGUGAAAUUCUAGGAUUUAUUGAAGACAAACUUCAGCGAAAGCAUUUGCCAAGGAUGUUUUCAUUAAUCAAGAACGAAAGUUAGGGGAUCGAAGACGAUUAGACACCGUCGUAGUCUUAACUAUAAACUAUGCCGACCAGGGAUAUGAGAGUUUUAUAUUUAUGUUAUGAAUAAUAACAUAAUCUCUUGUGGACCUUGUGAGAAAUCAUAAGUUUUUGGGUUCUGGGGGGAGUAUGGUCGCAAGGCUGAACUUAAAGGAAUUGACGGAGGG